UACGUAGGUGGCAAGCGUUGUUCGGAAUUAUUGGGCGUAAAGGGCGCGUAGGCGGUUUGUUAAGUCAGCUGUGAAAGCCCGGGGCUCAACCCCGGAGGGUCGGCUGAUACUGGCAGGCUAGAGUACGGAAGAGGUAGCUGGAAUUCCCGGUGUAGCGGUGAAAUGCGUAGAUAUCUGGAGGAACACCGGUGGCGAAGGCGGCAUCCUGGACCAACACUGACACUGAGGAGCGAAAGCCAGGGGAGCAAACGGG
Molecule: ribosomal RNA, 253 nt
Filed under: uncultured bacterium
Lineage: Bacteria
Description: partial 16S ribosomal RNA
Rfam family: Bacterial small subunit ribosomal RNA
Source: RNAcentral